UAUUGUUACUUUGGCAGAAUAGUGCAUUAAAUUUAGAAUUUAAUUAAGUAAUUUUACAAGUAAUA
RNAcentral lists this transfer RNA (65 nucleotides) under Paederus sp. MNCN AI552. RNAcentral describes it as "transfer RNA-Leu". The record is from RNAcentral. Lineage: Eukaryota; Metazoa; Arthropoda; Insecta; Coleoptera; Staphylinidae.